GAUGAAGAACGCAGUGAAAUGCGAUAAGUAAUGUGAAUUGCAGAAUUCAGUGAAUCAUCGAAUCUUUGAACGCACAUUGCGCCCGCCAGUAUUCUGGCGGGCAUGCCUGUUCGAGCGUCAUUUCAACCAUCAAGCCCCCGGCUUGUGUUGGGGACCUGCGGCUGCCGCAGGCCCUGAAAAGCAGUGGCGGGCUCGCUGUCACACCGAGCGUAGUAGCAUACAUCUCGCUCUGGGCGUGCUGCGGGUUCCGGCCGUUAAACCACCUUCAUAACCCAAGGUUGACCUCGGAUCAGGUAGGAAGACCCGCUGAACUUAAGCAUAUCAAUAAGCGGAGG
RNAcentral lists this unclassified non-coding RNA (335 nucleotides) under soil metagenome. RNAcentral's name for it is "partial contains 5.8S ribosomal RNA, internal transcribed spacer 2, and large subunit ribosomal RNA". The stretch from base 1 to 120 matches the Rfam family "5.8S ribosomal RNA", at positions 35 to 154 of the family's 154-position model. The record is from RNAcentral.